This 577-nucleotide ribosomal RNA is filed under the name uncultured Hyphomicrobiales bacterium. RNAcentral describes it as "bacterial SSU rRNA". It matches the Rfam family "Bacterial small subunit ribosomal RNA", at positions 107 to 719 of the family's 1533-position model. Lineage: Bacteria; Pseudomonadati; Pseudomonadota; Alphaproteobacteria; Hyphomicrobiales. The record is from RNAcentral.
UGAGUAAUGUAUAGGAAUCUACCUAGUAGUACGGAAUAAUUGUUGGAAACGGCAACUAAUACCGUAUACGCCCUACGGGGGAAAAAUUUAUUGCUAUUAGAUGAGCCUAUAUUAGAUUAGUUAGUUGGUGAGGUAAAGGCUUACCAAGACAAUGAUCUAUAGCUGAUCUGAGAGGAUGAUCAGCCACACUGGAACUGAGAUACGGUCCAGACUCCUACGGGAGGCAGCAGUGGGGAAUAUUGGACAAUGGGCGAAAGCCUGAUCCAGCCAUGCCGCAUGAGUGAAGAAGGCCUUCGGGUUGUAAAGCUCUUUUAGUGAGGAAGAUAAUGACGGUACUCACAGAAGAAGUCCUGGCUAACUCCGUGCCAGCAGCCGCGGUAAUACGGAGAGGGCUAGCGUUAUUCGGAAUCAUUGGGCGUAAAGGGCGCGUAGGCGGGUUAGUAAGUUAAAAGUGAAAUCCCAAGGCUCAACCUUGGAACUGCUUUUAAAACUGCUAGUCUAGAGAUUGAAAGAGGAUAGAGGAAUUCCUAGUGUAGAGAUGAAAUUCGUAAAUAUUANGAGGAACACCAGUGGCGNA